UGGGGAAUAUUGGACAAUGGGGGGAACCCUGAUCCAGCCAUGCCGCGUGUGUGAAGAAGGCCUUAUGGUUGUAAAGCACUUUAAGCGAGGAGGAGGGUACUGGUAUUAAUACUACCAGCUACUGGACGUUACUCGCAGAAUAAGCACCGGCUAACUCUGUGCCAGCAGCCGCGGUAAUACAGAGGGUGCGAGCGUUAAUCGGAUUUACUGGGCGUAAAGCGUGCGUAGGCGGCUAAUUAAGUCAAAUGUGAAAUCCCCGAGCUUAACUUGGGAAUUGCAUUCGAUACUGGUUAGCUAGAGUGUGGGAGAGGAUGGUAGAAUUCCAGGUGUAGCGGUGAAAUGCGUAGAGAUCUGGAGGAAUACCGAUGGCGAAGGCAGCCAUCUGGCCUAACACUGACGCUGAGGUGCGAAAGCAUGGGGAGCAAACAG
This 429-nucleotide ribosomal RNA is filed under the name Pseudomonadota bacterium. Its description in RNAcentral is "Proteobacteria bacterium partial 16S ribosomal RNA". It matches the Rfam family "Bacterial small subunit ribosomal RNA", at positions 355 to 775 of the family's 1533-position model. The record is from RNAcentral. Lineage: Bacteria; Pseudomonadati; Pseudomonadota.